This 506-nucleotide ribosomal RNA is filed under the name uncultured bacterium. Its description in RNAcentral is "partial 16S ribosomal RNA". It matches the Rfam family "Bacterial small subunit ribosomal RNA", at positions 28 to 523 of the family's 1533-position model. The record is from RNAcentral.
GAUGAACGCUAGCUACAGGCUUAACACAUGCAAGUCGAGGGGUAACGAGAGGAAAGCUUGCUUUCCUUGUCGACGACCGGCGCACGGGUGAGUAACGCGUAUCCAACCUGCCCCCAACUAGGGAAUAACCUUGCGAAAGUAAGACUAAUACCCUAUAAUUUCCUCAGAUGACAUCUGACGAGGAAUAAAGAUUUAUCGGUUGUGGAUGGGGAUGCGUCUGAUUAGCUUGUUGGCGGGGUAACGGCCCACCAAGGCAACGAUCAGUAGGGGUUCUGGGAGGAAGGUCCCCCUCAUUGGAACUGAGACACGGUCCAAACUCCUACGGGAGGCAGCAGUGAGGAAUAUUGGUCAAUGGGCGGAAGCCUGAACCAGCCAAGUAGCGUGCAGGAUGACGGCCCUAUGGGUUGUAAACUGCUUUUAUACAGGAAUAAAGUUAGCCACGUGUGGUUAUUUGUAGGUACUGUAUGAAUAGGGACCGGCUAAUUCCGUGCCAGCAGCCGCCGUAA